RNAcentral lists this ribosomal RNA (232 nucleotides) under uncultured prokaryote. Its description in RNAcentral is "partial 16S ribosomal RNA". The record is from RNAcentral.
AGAACGAACGCUGGCGGCGUGCCUAACACAUGCAAGUCCAACGUGAAAGGGGAGCAAUCCCCCGGUACGGGUGGGCAAACGGUAGGAGUAAUAACAUGGGUGGAUCUACCUUAGGGUAGUGGGGAGUAUCCUUCCCGAAAGGAAGGGGCGAAUAACCGAACUAAUUGUUCCGGACGGCCGUCGAAGGGUUACCGGGGGUAAACGGGGAAGGGCCGUCCUGAUACAAGACUUU